CCGCGCCACGUGGGGCCGCGGCCGGGCCGUGCUGCCCCCUGGCGGCCGGAUCCGGGAGGCCCGGAGGCCGCCGCGCCGCACCUGGCCGCCCGCGGCCGCUCUAGGAACGCGGGGCCUCUCGGUGGUGGCGGGGGCCCGUCGUCGCGCGCCCAGGAAGGGGCUGUGCCCGAAGCCGGGGUUCUGCGGCGCGGGCGCUUCUACAAGGCGCGCCAGGCCUCUCUGCCGAGCGGGCGGCCCGGCGCCGUCUUUGCACGCCCCGAGACCAUCCCUCUGGGGCCGAAGCCGCUCUGGUUUUCUUGUUUUUUCGCACGCCUGGCCGGCCCCGUCCCCCGACCCGUCGCGGGCGCGUUCUUUGUGCAGAUCCUGUUGCUGGGAACCCGUGGGUGCAGAGCGGACCUCGGGGCUCUGCGGAGAGCGGGAGCGCCGAGACGUGCCCCACCCGUAAGGCCCAAAGCCGCUCCGAGGAGAAGACUUAAAGGGAAAUCCCAACGAGCCGCGGGGACCGAGAAGGAAGGGGUGGCCCCUGGAAUUGACCCGAGCUUUAGGGAUGCAAACCCUUUCCCGCGUGGCACUGCUCGAGUCGGUUAAGCUCUACACCACGCGGAGGCGCACCUUGAGAAGCGUCCUGACGAUGGGCUCGACCUGUUGUUUCUUGAUACAUUUUCAAAUAUGUCUAUAGUUAUUUCCAAGAGUUGGAAUUGCCCUGUCAAAGGGUAUAGGCAUUUUUUUUUUUAAGGCCUUUUGAUGCCUGUUGCCAAACCAUUUUCCAGAAGGGCCACGGGCUUACCUUGUUCUCUGUGGGACGUAGGUAGGGUACCCGCAGGCAGAGCUGCCAACUGGGAAGGUGGUCUCUUGUGGGGAGGGGGAGGGGUUGAGAAUCGCCUGGCAUUUAAGGGGCAACAUGGGGUUCCGUGUGAGUGAUGACCAGGCAGGCAGUGGCUUUGCGACAGUGCCCUGGGUCAUACUGUGGGACUGACUCUCAGUGGAUGUCAACGCUUCCGGAACAUUGGGCAGCCAGAGGGAUCCUUUGAAAAUGCGGGUCCUCUUUUGCUCUUCGGGUAAAAUCCAAAAUCGCAUCAGGGCCCACCGGGCCCUGCCUGCCUCUCCAGCCCUAUCUUGGGCAGUGUAUUGGUUUCCUAGGGCUGCGUCACGAAAUACCAGAAACUGGGUGGCUUCACAUAACAGAAGUUUAUUGUCUAAAAAAGUCCACAAUCAAGGCGGCGUUAGGGUUGGCUCUUACUGGAGACCCUGUUGCACGCCUCGCUCUGUUGCCGGCAAUCCUCUAUGUCCCUUCGCUUGUGGACGCAUCACUCCAGUGUCUGCCUCCAUCCUCACGUGGUGUUUCCCUUGUGUCUCUAUCUCUAUGUCUCUUCUCUUCCUCUAAGGACAAUAGUCAUAUUAGAUGAAGGACGCACCCUAAUUCUGAACCACCUCAUCCUAACUUACUAUCUGCAAUGACCCUACUUCCAGAUCAUGCCACAUUGGAGGUUCCUGAAAGGACGUGGAUUUGAGCGGACGCUGUCCAACCCACAAGAGGCUGUCUCCCCUGACUCGGGGGCCCUGGCCUUCUCUCCACUCUCCUGGCUCAGCCUCUGCCCCCCACCCUGUCCUCCUGGGCCACCCAUCUCCACCUCCCGUCCCCUCCUCCUGCAAGGUGUUGUGGAAAUGUCACUGCCUCCGAGAAGCCCUCCCAAACCCCGCAGAUGAGGGUCACCCUGCCUUGUUUAACGGGCUCAUGACACCCAUCCCAAUGGUAUCUGAGGAAGUGCCUGAGUCACAGUGUGUCAGUCUCACGUGUGCCUCCCCUGGAAGGUCACCCCCGUGAGGGCCGGAACCAGGCCGCCUGGGUGAGCAAUAACAAACCUAAACACGUGGGCACGGAGACUGACUGCGGAAGCCUGUCUCAGUAGGACAGGCCAGAGGGGACAGGCUCUGUACCAAGCCCACUGCAGGGCCCUCCAGGAAGGCCUCCGAAGCGGUGGCCCCGGGACACGGGGGAGACAGACCUGCGGUCAGGGCAGGCUCCACCCCUCCCCCGACCAUGACUUUCAAGGCCCUCUCUAAGCUGCCCCUGCCCCACCUCAAUGACCUCUGCUCACAUCUCUGUCUUGUUCUGUCCCUUUGCACUGUUCACGCUCCUGCAUCCAUCCUGCCAAGCCAGCUCCCUUCUUAGGGCCUUGGCGGUCUCUACCCACAGCCCGGAAUGCUCUGCAUCCAGGUUUUUACACACUGGCUUCUUACCAUUCAGACUUCAGCUCCUAUUGUCACUUCCCUGACGACCCCAUCUCACCCGCGUCGUCCUCCAUCACAUCAACCUGCUUUAUUUUCAGUGUCUGUGAUGAUCUUGUUCAUUUGUUUGUUCUCCUGUCUGUCCCCCUAACCUCUCAGAAUAUAAGCUCCGUGAAAGCAAGGACCUCGUUUGCCUGUUCACUGCUGAGCCCUCAGUGCCAGGCUAGAACCUGGAACACAGUGGGUGCUUCCUGUUUGUUGAAUGACUGAAUGAAAGUUAACCCUUCCAAGCUCUGUUUCUUCAUCUACAAAAUGGGGAUAAUCUGAGCUACUUCAUAAGAGAUAAUAAUUGUACCUACCUCAAAGGGAAGAUUAAAUGAGAGGAGGUACAUGAAAUGCCUCCAGAGUAGUAAACACUCAGCAUAUUGGAACCAUUAUCAGUAUCUUAGAUUGACACCCAGCCUAACAUGGAGGGGAUGUGGCAGAUGUGGUGGUAACUCUUACAGAUCCCCAGAGGGAUUACAGAGGGUGAUUCAACCUUCACAUUCUUUCAGUUACCCAACCUUUACCACAAAAGGAUGGAAGAAGUGUGGUAUUGUAACAGCCCUGAACUUGGACCAAGUGGUCUUGAAACUGAGUGUCUUAGAACUUUCUGAAGCUGCAUCCUCACCUGCAAAAUGGAAAUAAUUAUUCCUUAUAAAAGCUUAAGUGGCUUAUAUGUAAAUUAUGAUGCAUAUUUCCCAAAUGACUCUACCACUGGUUCUUUUUGUCUUAAAGCAAUUAUUUAUUAAUUAUAUCAUAGUAAAUGGUAUUGCUUGCAAUUACUAGAAGGGAAUAUGCUUAAAUUUGUAAUAUUGUUUUUUCUGAUUUUGAAAGUAAUAUAUUACAGAAAAUUUGGAGGAUAUAGAAAGUUUGAAGAAGAAAGUUUUAAAAUCAUCCCUAAUCCCCCCAUUUUUAGUCCUCCUCUUUAUGCCAUGGAGCAAACAAUACAAAUUUAAAUGCAUUGGCAAGAGGAACAGUGAUGUCAGCAGGUCCAGCAACUUGGGCUUCCUAGCAGGUAGGUUUGCUUCCUGAAAGGCCAGGGAAAGUGGAGUCCUGGCUUGAUGGAGUCUUGGGAGUGGCUCGGAGGGGAAGGAGGCCCACGAGAAGGGACUGGUCUUUUGAGGGUGUGGCCCGAGGAGAGCAUCUGACUAUAGAUUAAGAGGUCCUGAUGUGGAUUCAGAGGUACUUUUACCACGUCCUUAAUUUUUUUUUUUUUUUACAUUUCUAAGUAGUUUAUGAAAAUAAUACAUUACUGGAAAUUUUUACAUUUGAAAUAAUGCUCUCUGUCAUUUAACACAGAAUCACCUGGUUUUAAAAGACACCAGUGUCCUUGUCUCUCAACUAGCUGCCCCCCUCCUCCCUGCAUUAGGGUUUUUUAAACCUUUUUAAACCUCCCUAGAAGGUUCUAAUAAGAUCAGGAUUAAGAACCAUGACUUAGCAUGUAAUUCACAUUUUCUUGUGAAUUAUACGAAACAUUUAAAUAGCUUGCAGGACCUUAUUUCCCCCACCAGGGAUCGAACCCACACCCCCUGCAGUGGAAGCCAAGGAGUCCUAAUCACUACCCUGCCAGGGAAGUCCCAGUAGUUUUUGAUCACUGGAGAUCUAGCAUACUUCCCUUAACUACCUCUCUAGUAUUAGGCAUGUUUAAAUAUUUUAAAUAACACUUAAGAGGGCUUACAUGUAAGUAAGUAAGAGGACUUACAUAUCUUUGAGCCAACAUUUGUUCAUAUUUCAGACAUUUUCUAAGGAUGGAUUCCAAGAAAUGGAAUUACUACCAAGUCAAAGGGAAUUAAUUAUUUAAAAUAAUCUCUGGUUUUACACUGCCCUUCCCCUCAAGAAAGAUUGUACCAAUUUACAGUCCCAAUUUACAGUACUAAUAUGAUAAUUACUGUUUUAAUUGUUUUCCUAAUUUGAUAGGUGAAAAAUGUUAUGUUUUAAUUUGCAUUUCUUUGGUCUUCCUAAAAUUUACCCUGAUUUACUGAGAUUGAGCACAUCCUUGAUGGCCUAAGUGGAGCCUUUACAUAUUAAGGAUAUUUAUUUGCAGCAUUUUGUCUGUCGUAAAUGAUGGAAAUUUGCUAUAAUCCCAACUUGCUAUUAACCUUUCAAUUUUGUUCAUAUUCCUAAACUCUUAAUGUUUAAAUAACUACUGACAUUUUCUGUUCGGAUUUCUUCCAUGCCUUCCCUGCUGUUCAGAAAUUAGUUAGAUAUUCAUUUAUAUUCUCUCAUACUUUAUGUUCGGUUUUGUUAUACACAGUGCUUUAAUCCACUUGGACUGUAUUUUGAUAUACAAAAAGAAGUUUAGGUGCUACUUUAAUUAUUUUUCCCAAAUGGCCAAUUAAACUCUCCUAGCUUGAUUUAUGUAAAUAACCUUUCCUUUCCCGUCUGAAUUCGUGACUGCUCUACGUCGGGGCAGUAAAACGCCGUGGUUAAGUGUGUGGUUAAGUAAGCCUCGACAGCUUAUUUCGCAUCCUGCCCCCCUCGGGUUCCUCCGCUGUGCCCCUGGGGUAGCAAUCACAGCCCGCUCCCAGAGGGCUGUGGACGUCCUCAGCGCUUGGGAGGCACUCGCGAUGAUCUUUUAUUACGUGGGUACACAUACUAUGGUGUUCUCCCAGGUCUGGCUGCCUUGCGCUGUUUUAGUAGAUGUUCUAAUAUUUACAGUGGAAAAGUCCUCCAGUGUCGCUUCUGUUAUUACUUUCGCAGUUUUCUUAGCUACCGUCACCUAUUUCAUUUUUGGAAAUAAACGGUUCCCCUUUUAUUUACUAGGCCUGGCCUUCCGUUUACCUCUCAAGGAAGGAGUUCGAAAAGGACACUGCUUGAUGCAGCUGGCAGACUAGCUAAGGUUUGCGCGGUUAGGGGAGCAGAGCCGCGAGGGGCAUCAGAGCGGUGGGAAGAUGAGAGAGAGGCGGCGAAGACGAGGAGGAGGACGACGAGACCAAAAGCCGGAAAAGGGCAGAUGGAGCAGAAGCAACGAGGCGGCCCGGGCUCAGGCCGGAGCUUGGCGCGCUGAGAAGUCUCCCUCCGGGCGGCCUGGGUCUUCUCCAGGCAACAAGAGGGGCCCUGAACCUCUACCACCUCCGGCUGUGGGCAGAAGACUGUGACCAAAUCAAUCGUCCCACCGAACCUGGGGAGGAAAACCGGUUGGAGUUCUGAGCAGGAAGGCCCGCCUGGAGCGACCAUAGGCAGCAAAACCCAAGGCAGAGGCUACGACGGUCGGCAGGGCCUGGGUGUGGCUGCACGGCUAUAAAGGUGUGAGUUGAGACAAUUUAGCUGUGUCAGGGGGUAUAGCUCAGGGGUAGAGCAUUUGACUGCAGAUCAAGAGGUCUCCGGUUCGAAUCCGGGUACCCCCUGCCCACGUAGCAUUUUGGAAUUUCCAGGCUUCAGCAAGCCUGAGGCCCAUGGCCUUCCUUCCUUGGGUCCCUGUAGUUCCAGCACCCCUCCACACUGAGAACAACACCCGCUGACUCUUUCCCAUCUGGAGAUGUUCCACCCGGAACAGCCACCUAUGGAUUGUGGAGAGGUCCACAGUGUGGGAAGCCUCAUUGGCUUCUUGCACUUUUCAAGGAAAUGGGGGGAGCAGGAUGCUGUCAGGGCCCCAGGAGGGUCCUGCUGCUCGUCAGAGUGUGGUAGAUGGAAGGAGCCCCAGGGAGGAGUAAGAAGUUGGGGUUCUGGUCCCAGCACCACCAUCACCCCACCUUUUCUCAUCAGCACAAGGGGUGUCAGCCAGGAGCAAUGAGGGCUGCUCGCACAGGACAGAAGCAAGACUGGGGUCUGCGGACGGCUCUGGGGAGGCGUAGGAGACCCACAGAUUUCCAGGUCCCUGGACAGCCACUUUCAAGUGACUUUUUUCUGUAGACCAAAAUAUGUUUAAUGAAAAUACCUCUGAUCCAGGUGCUAAAGUAACUGAUUAAAAGAAGGAAGAAGGAAGAAUUAAGUAGUUAAGGAAUGACCAGCUCUCUACCUGCAACAGCCCCCUUCGCAAUCCUGCAGGCAGAUCACACAAGCAAGAUAACGUCUGGAGAGAGAGGCAGCCAGCCAGCAAGCAAUGGAGAAGGAUGCAGAGCCCGACCUCCUGCCUCGAUGGUUCACUGAAAUUCUUCCCCAUUUUUCCCUUUAAAAACUGUCAUGGCUGAGCAGAAUCUUUGCAGUUGGUCUUGGGACAUGAGUUCACCUUCUCCCCAGAUAGCGGGCUUUUCUGAUUAAAGCGUUUUUCGUUUCUACUGA
Molecule: long non-coding RNA, 6492 nt
Organism: Aethalodelphis obliquidens (Pacific white-sided dolphin)
Lineage: Eukaryota; Metazoa; Chordata; Mammalia; Artiodactyla; Delphinidae
Exons: 2
Source: RefSeq, a predicted model, not a curated record